CCUGUCGUUUUCCCGACAGUAGUCUAGGAGGGCAGGCGUGACCGGUAACGGUUGGGUCUGAAGCCCCUUUGACAAUGUAACCCAUUCCGAAAGGAUGAAGCCGAAGCCGUGAGGUAGAAGUGGAACUGUGAGCAUUACGCGGUAGGGAAC
This is a non-coding RNA of Gallionella sp., 150 nucleotides long. NCBI's taxonomy places the organism in Bacteria, Pseudomonadati, Pseudomonadota, Betaproteobacteria, Nitrosomonadales, Gallionellaceae. The record is from Rfam.